GAGAGAGAGAGAGAGAGAGAGGUGUAGAAGCAAAGACUGACGAGUUGAUGGAAAUAUAGGCAGCAAGGUCCUUGGAGAUGCCAUAUAAUUGUCCAGUGGCAUGCCUGAAGUACUUGUUUCCAUCCUCUCCAAAUUUCCAGUACUCUGGUUCGUGAUAUUUCACCCCUCUGCCGUACAAUUACUUGUUAUUGUAUUAUGAUUAAUUUUCAGUACUAUGAUUAGUUUGUCUUGUUAUUUUUUUUAAAAAAUAAUUAAAAAUAUUUUGCUAGUAUACAAUAAUUAUUAAAAAUAUAAAAAACUUACUUGCGAGAAAGAACUGGUCCAGACUUCAUGCAUCCGAUAUACACUCUGGGCUUGGAUCGGUAUUGUGCAAGCGUGCUGGCUAGCAUACCUUUGCAAUCAAAACAACAAUACCAAUAUAUAUAUAUAUAUAUUCCAUGACUCAUUGUAGUACUGUAAGAUUAUUGUAUUACUAUAAGAUUGAAUCAAACGAAGAACAGAAGAGAAAUGCUAACCUAAGUUGAGAUGGACAUCAUCAUCCACCUUCACAUAGAAUUGGGCGUCCCAUAUGGCAACAGCAGUAGAGAAAUAGAGUCUGGUCUUGGUGGACAGCUGGUGGUAUCCUUCUACGUGUUUCAGCCUAAGAAAGUCCUUGUGCUCUGCCUCUUCUCUGUCCAGUGCUUUAUCCAGAACACCCCCUGGUGUGGCACUGUGCCCUAUCACAAACCUUAUAACAAUCCCUUUCUCUCUCUCCAAUUUCUUCAGUUUUUCUCCUGUAACACCACAACAACAAUUCUCAACUGCUUAAUUUUAUGACCCAGGUCUGGUACAAUCCAUUCAUGCAAGCACAUUUGCCAUAAAGAAAAAUUAAGGAUCCAAAAAGACAUGUUAUGUUAGGAGACACCGCAGGACCUCUAGGCAUCCAUGUUUCUCGAACAGAGUCUCUUCUUUUCCUGCUGCUAAAUGCUGUGUUAAUUCCAAUAACCACAAAAGCCUUCUGCAAUGUCUGAUUAGAUUUGCUUUCCAGGGAAAUUCCUCCAGCACUAGUCUUGCUCAUACGAGCUACUGCUAAUUCCAUUUCCAAGUUGGAGAUUGUUUUGUCAAGUGACCUACGUACGGUGCGGUUGGACAUAAACAUAAUUAGAUGGCAUUUACUGAAACCGGAGGUUAAUUUUGCACAAUCACAAGAGGUAUAAGCUCACUGGAUAGCCUUGUGAGUUUUUGAGACUUCCCCCAUGAUAUCUUCUGCCUUUCCUUCAGCCAAUUUCUGAUUAGAAUGGGAAAAACUGAUCUCAAUCUGAUAGGUUGCAGGCAGCAACAUAUAUAUGAUAUAUAAUAAUAAAGGAAUAAAUUGGAUAAACUCUAGUUAGCAUGCAUACACGUUUGCGAUCAAAGUCACGGGCUACUUCUCCCAACUUAUUGCUGGCAUGCUUUUGAAUGGGUGGAGUUGGAUGAUAUUUGUCAUGAGAAGUGUAAGCAGUCCACGUUCGGCUGGUAAACAGUGAUCCUGCAAGAAAGCUAGCAAGACAUAAUACGAAAAUGGCUUUCCCUGAAACUGCCUUUCCCCGCAUUUUCUUGGACUCGUUGUCAAGCUGCCACGGGCACAAGGCAUAAUAAAGACGCUGCAUGCGAUCCUGAAGUGAUCAGAUUCUUUUAAGGUUGCAGCACCUUAUUGUUCGUGGUCUUCACAAAGGCCCUUGAAGAAAACACAAAGGAAGAAGAAACUUAGGCUAUUUAUUUUCAGGUGAAGCUAAAGCUUGAUAUAUAAAAAAACACAUGCGCUCUAUACCUCUAUGUAUACACCAUCACAUGCUAUUGCCGUUCCUAUAUAGAAUUAGUUCUAGAAAGAGUAGAUGGAAAUAGGGAAAGAAAUCCCAUUUUUGUGAAAAUUUUAUGACUAUGAUACUUUGUCGAUUUGAUUGAAACAACUGCCAAUGGUUUGCUAAUGCUAGCUUUCAAUCCCCCCCACACCACUGAAGCCUAUGAUUUGAGCAUAUGGUCUCUACUCAAGCAUGUCAUGUGAGGCUAUGUGCAAAGUUAAGGUAAAGCCCACCCAAUAUAGAUAUUCAAAGUAAAAUUCUCUUGCUUAGAGACACUCUUUAAGAAGAAAUGAAAUCUCUAAGCUGAUAUCGCCCCAACAAUUCUGAACAAAUUAGGAUUCUAAUGCUACAAAAAAUAUGUGCUGUGCUUUGAGUCUUCCUGCAUAGCUAAUGAAUCCCUUUGAUUAUCAAGAUUCAUCAAUCAAAGGAAGGAGUGGGAAAAUCAUAACAGUCCCUUUGAUCAUAUGAAGCCGGCAUAAGAGUAAAACUCUACAAGAAGAAAAAGAGAAAAAGUUGAUUUGAAGAAACAAGAUGAUGAUGUACAUUGAUGUACUUACCAGUUAAACAUUGCUUCAAUUCUAUUGUUAAUAUAAUUAAGGAUAAGCAAAUACUGAAAACAACAUAACCAGAAUAAAAUAUACUAGUACCUUUCCGAAUCAUUCAGGAUUGGGGCAUCAUUGACUGAGAAACGUUGCUAUCGAUUGCUAGCUAACGGCCAUCCUCAAGCAAAACUUCUUAUGUUGUAACUUUCCCUUACCCUAUAUAUCCUAGCUAGUUUCAAAUUACCUGAGCGCGCGGCCCUGGUUGCUGGGUUUGGCAGUUGGACCAUGUUGUUUUCAUGGUUCAACAACCUGUCAGCAGCUAUUACAGAAAAAGAAGUUCCUUUGUUUGAGGUAAUCGGUGACGUUUACGUGUGUAUUUGUGUGCGCGCGCGUCAAGAUGCUUCUUGUUAUGCUUUGUGUGUAGCAUAAACUCAAUUAAAACAUUAAGCUAGCAUAUGUUAGCUUUAACUUUCGUCAAGUGUUUGAUCUGAACGUGGACCUAAAUUUAUGCUGUUUGGAUGCCUUAUUUAGAGGGUUUAUGUCGAAGAUCUGUUUAUGUUAAUAUAUAAUGCAUGCAAGGAAUAGGAAUGAUAUAUCACACUAUUCUUGUUAAGCUAAUUAGUAGCUAGCACACACCAAGCAUGCCUGUGAGACAAGGAGUCCCUUACAUACUUGAGGAUCCAAGUUCUUUAAUGCCGAAAUUUUCGGUCAGUGUUAUAUAUUUGAACAGAAAGCAUAUGCACAGGACCAGUUAGCCUAUAGAUCGAGUAUCACCAAAGAAAGCAAAAAAAAAAAAAAAGGCAUUAUUGUCAUAGAAUUCAUGUUAGUUAAGUAUUCUCUAUUGAAAAGCGUAGAAACUAAUUACGUGUGUUUAAACUGAAAGUUAAUCAAGCGAAUGACUCAAAUGCUCUAUAGAGAUGGGAUCAAAUUUUGCAUUAAAAUUACUGUUGUACACCAAUUUGUAUUGUAUUUUAUUGUGUGUAAAAUAUUGUGACCUAAGAGAAAAAAAAAACACCAAAAAAAGGGAAAGGAAAAUAUUUGAAAUAUCAUUUUAUUCUCUUGUCACGUACAAUACAGAAAACCCAACUUAUAUAUUAGCCUGGGUAACAAACUUGUAACAAAUUUGUAAAAAGAGGCAGAAAAAUGUCUUAGAGAUCUUAACAUUAAUAGUUUAUUUACAUAGUAAUUACUAAGUGCGUGACUAUAAUAAAAGUUUAUUUACAUAGUAAUUACUAAGUGCGUGACUAUAAUAAAAGCCUAACUAGCUAUUUACUAUUAAUAAUUCGUUAACAACUAAUGUAGAAAUCAAUAAUACAAAAGCUAUUAUCAUCUAAAACUCCUAUGCUUUUUAUCUUCACUGCUUCUCAACAAAUUUGUCAUGUAAUAUCCUUCAUUAAAUAAAUAAUUUAUCUCUAAUACUCUCCCUCAAGAUGAGUGUGUAUGUUAAUAACACUCAUCUUGAUGAGAAGAGCAUGAUAAGGACCUAGUUGCAAUGCUUUUGUAUAGAUAUCCACUAACUCAGUAAAUAGAUGUCAUGGCUAAAUAACUCUAGCAAUGACCUUAUCUCUGAUGAAAUAGAAGUCCAUUUCAAUAUGUUUCGUACGUUUAUAAAAAUAGAGUUUUUACAUAUGUGAAGGGCUGAUUGAUCAUCACAAUAUAGCUCAAUAGCACCAAGAUGAGAAAUUCUGAAAUCUUGUAGCAAAAGUAACAACUACUGCACCUCACAACACGUUGCUGCCAUUGCCCUAUAUUUAGCCUCAGUGGAAUUCCUUGCCUCUACUGAUUGCUUUUUAGAUUUCCAGCUUAUAAGUGAUUUACCUAUAAAAACUCCAUAACCAGUGACAGAUAUUCUAGUAUCCAAGCAAUCUUCCCAAUCACCAUCAUUGUAAAUCUAAUCUGGUAUCUGAAUAUGAAAAUAACAUGAUACCUUGCCUUGGUGCCCCCUUGAGGUACUUCAAAACUCUAAAAGUUACUUGUAAGUGAACACUACUUGGUUGUCCAUAUAUUGAGACAAUAUAUGAACUGCAUAGGCUAUGUUCAGUCUUGUAAAGGUCAAAUAUAGUAAUUUACCAAAAAGUUGCUUAUAAAUAGUGCCAUCUUGCAAUAAUUAUUCCUCUUUUGCCCUUGCUAGCUUUUGAUUGUAGUCUAUUGGUGUUGUGAUUAGUUUUCCACCAAGUAACUCAUACUUUUCAAGCAAAUCUAACACAUAUUUCCUUUGGCAUAUAGAAAUGCCCUUAUCAGACCUUGCAACUUUAAGACCUAGGAAAUAUUUUAACUUCCCUAAGUCUUUUAGUUUGAAUUUGGUUUUCAAGUAAUUCUUCACAUCAUUAGUAAGUGUAAUAGAUGAACUUGCAAUAAUUAUAUCAUAUACAUACACUAAGAGAGCAACAAAAUCUCCAUUGUUCAUAGAUUUUUUAAAUAAAGAAUAACCACAAGACUACUUGUAAAUACUGCAUUUAUUGCACUUACUAAAUCUCCACGACUGAUUUUAUUUUCAAGAAACUUUUAGUUUUAUUGCCAAGCAAACAACAGUGAGCUAUUGCAACGAUUAAAGGUUAGUAUCUUGAUUAACUUGAUAUAAAUAAUGCAUUUCUCAAUGGUGAUUUGCAUGAAAUAGUAUAUAUGAUGCUGCCACAAGGUUAUAAGCCUUAUCUUUAGGGGGAAUAUACAAUAUCACAAAAUUAGAACUUAGUUUGCAAACUCCACAAAUCACUUAAAACUUCGAAGCUAAGAAUUUAUAGAAUCAAUGGUUAGGUUAUUGUCAAAAACAUUAUUUUUUGGAGAAAUGGUAUUUUGGGGAUCAUAAUUACUUGUAUCAACUUCAUGUUCUUGAUGGUUAUGUAAGGGAUGAAUAUGUGAAUGUGAAGUGACAUCAGGUGAAUCAAAAGAAUAAAGCAAAUCAAAUGGUGAUGAAGCUCUGUUAUGCAAAGUGGGAAAUGAAGUAUAAGAAUCAACUAUUUGUUGCAAAUAUUUAAAAAGAAACGCAGAUUCAUGAAAAAUGACAUCCCUAUAAACAAAGACAUUAUGUGUCUCCAAAUCAUAUAGCUUGCAGCCUUUUAUGCCUCUAGGAUAACCUAUGAAAACACACUUUGUAGCUCUUUUAUCAAAUUUUUUUUCUAUAACUUGAAAUGAUAGAUGCAAAGCAUAAUGAUGCAAUCACUCUAAGAUGUGAAUAUGAAGGAAUUUUAUAAACAAGAUUUCAUAUGGUGUUUUAUUUUGUAAAACAUGUGUGGCAAUUCUAUUUAUAAUGUGUGCAACAAUUAAGAUUGAAUCACCCAAAAAUUUCAAAGGUACUGAUGAUUGAAAUAUUAAUGCCCUUGAAAUGACUAACAAAUGCUAAUGUUUACAUUCAACUACUCCAUUUUGUUGUGGAGUAUCAAUAACGCAACAUAGUAAAGUAGAUGUAAAAUUUCUUUAGAAGAAUAAAAAUCCAAAAGUUUAAACUCAUUCUCAUUAUCUGACAUGAUUUAAAACCAUAUUAUAAACAGUAGGUAUGAUAAUUGAAACUUUAGAUUUAUACUUCAUUAGAAAACUCCAUGUAAACCUUGUGUAAUCAUUUACUAUUGUAAAAAAAUAAUGAUGGUUUGAUGAUGUUGCAACAGACUAAGGUCUCCAUAUAUAUGCCUUCCUGUAUCAAAUCAAAAGAUGAAUUUGAAAAAGUACAAUAAACAGGAAAAAGUAAUGGUUUUUGCUUUGCUAAUAAACAAAUGUCACAAAUCAAAUCAGAUUUACAUUAAAAACAUCAAAAUUGUUUUAAUGAAUCAACCUAAUUUUGCUCAAAAGGGUACGUCCUAACUCGAAAUGCCAUAAAUCAAAGUCCCUUGGUGUUGAACUACAAACAUUUGCUAAUGGUUGCUUGGGAAUAUUUACAUUCUUAUUUUUGCUAAGCUUUUUCAACAGUUGUUCAUCUAGCUUGUCUUGCAUGAUAUACAACUCAUUGAUAACCUUAGUAACCUUAAUCAUUUUCCAAAAAAUUGGGUUCUGUAUGACAAAAUAUUCAUAUAAAAGAGUUAAACAAUAUUUUCUUGAUUUUGUAUGUGAACUUACUGUAAUCAAAUUAUAGGUAAAAAGUGGUACAUAUAGCACAUUUUCCAAUAUUAAAGAUCUUAGUUGCACAAUUCCUAUGUGCGAAAUAACAACUUUGGUUUUGUUUGGUAAGUGAACAAAUGCAUUAUGGAUUGCCCUAUAUGAAGAGAAAGGCUUUAAACUACAAGUUAUAUGGUCUGUGGCACUUGUGUCUAAGAUCUAAGUAUCAUUAAGAAAAAAUAAAUAAUUUAUAGUUUGUAUAUGGCUUACAAAAGCAUGAUGAGUGCACAAGUAAUUGUGAUUAGUAAUUGUACCUGUUUGUGCAGAGUUUAAAAAUGAGAUUUUGUUACUGUGGUUACUAGUACCUGCAUUAUCAUUAACAACUGCUGAAGGAUGCUCAUUGAUUGAAGCUAAAAUUUUCUAAACUUGAUCUUUAGGAAAAUCUCUUUGAAAACCAGAACUAGUAAUACCAUCUCCACUGUCGUGAUGAUCCUUUUAACCAACAGUCAUAACACUAUUUAUACUAUAAUUUUCUUUUUUUUUUCCAAUAAACUUGCCUUUUGCAAACUUGAAGUCAUAUGGAAAUCCCACUAGCUUGUAGCAUUUUUCCUUAUAAUGGCCCUUCUUACCAUAAUUUGUACAAACUAUAUAGGAUUUACCCUUAGUUUUAUUAUAAAAAAUAAUCAUAUUUGUAGAGGCCUCUAUAAAAGGAUGAGUUUGUAAAUUUAUACUACGUUGAGAUUUUUCUCUAAAGAUAAUACUACAAACUUCAUCCAAAGUAGGGAAAAGUUUCAUCAUAAUAAGUUAUGACCUAAAAGCAGCAUAAGAUUCAUUCAAUCCAUUAACAAACUUAAACACAUUAUCUUUUUCAGUCCUAUCAAUAAACUUAUGAAAGUUUUGAUUACAAUUUCCACACUUAUAAUAAGGCAAUGGUAUAAAAUUUCACAAUUCCUCCUAGUUGGAGUUAAGCUCAGUAAAAUAACCAUCCAUAGAUUGUGUACCUUGUGAGAUAUUGUGAAAAGAAUGUUGAAGAUUGAAAAUCCUCACAUCGUCUAGUUGUGCGAAUCUCUUGAGAAAAUCCCAUUUCUGAGCGAUAUUGUUCAUAUAAAAGGCAUUUGAUACAAUUUAUGGAGUAAGUGAAUCCAACAACCAAGCAACUAUAAGGUUGUUAUAUCUUGUUCAUGCCAUGUACAUUUUAUCAGAAGGCUGAGGUGGUGGAAUUGACAUAAUAAAGCUUGUCUUAAUGCAGAUUGAAAAAGCUAGAAUAAAUAAAUGACUUUAUGAGUAACAGUUGUUUGAAUUGAGCUUAGGUGUAAUUACCACCAAUCCAUUAUUAUUUGAAUGGUGGAGUAAAUAAGGAAAUGUAUAAGAAUCAUCCACCAUAGAGAUUGUUGGCACGAUUGGUGCCUCAAAAGAAGUUGCCAUAAUGAAUCUUGACUUGAAUUGAAUCAAUCAAGAAUUAUCGAAAAGAAUUUCAAUUAAAACAACCAAAAAAAUGAAUCUUGAUCUUGAGAAAUCCUAUAUCAUGGCUCUGAUACCAUGAAAAUAUUGUGACAUGAGAGAGAAAAACUUAGAAGAAGAAAAAAGAAAAAAAAUUAGAAUAUUAUUUUAUUCCCUUGUCAUGUUUAUUAUAGAAAAUCUAGCUUAUAUAUUAAUUUGGGUAACGAACUUGUAAUAAUCUGUACAAAAGGGUAGAAAAAUGUCCUAAAGAUCUUAACAAUAAUAGUUUAUUUAUAUGAUAAAACUACCUAUAGUAAUUACUUAAGUGAGUUACUAUAGUAAAAACCUAACUAAUUAUUUACUAUUAGUAAUUCAUUAACAACUACUGUAAAAAUCAAGAAUAUAAAAACUAUUAACAUUUAAAACUCCUGUACUUCUUAUCUUCACUGCUCCUUAACAAAUCUAUCAUGUAAUUUGCCUCUGGGCAUUUGGCUCAUUAGUUGAUGCAUGAUCUCUCUACUUAGAGAGUAGGGUUCUAAUCCCCUUUUCCCCAAUUAAAAAAAAUCUAUCAUGUAGUUUCCUUCAUUAAAGAAAUAAAUUCAUUUCUAUUAUUGUGAAUGGAUGUUACAAUGUGAUAUGAGUUUACAAGGCUAGUUUUUAACAUUUAAGUCUUAAUAGAGUAGGUCAUUAAAGGUGAAAAGAUAAAAAAAAGUCGCUAUCUAGAUUUGUUAGCUUUGGUCCAUCACCUUAACUAGAGAUGGAUCCAUAGAUUACAAAGGAUCUAAUUUCGGUCUAUCACAUAAAUUAUAUUUUAAUGGAUGGCAUAUUUUUUGACAUUGCACAAGAUUUGUUGUGCUAACUAUUCAUCAAGGAGUUAUAGUUCUUUAGUUUCUUGUUGAUCAAAUUAUUUUAAAUUAUGUUUAAACUUUAGACUUGUUAUACCUCUAACAACUGAUAGAAUCCUUUACCUCCACUAUUGAGGUAAUAACUUUAAAGUAAACAAGUGAGUGUAGAAAACAAGAUACAUACACUAAACAAGAUCUAACUAUAAAAUACUAAAUUAAUUUAUCUUUAUCAAUAAUUAAAAGGUAGCUUUAUUACAAUUUACUAAUUGUUAUUAUACUUAAGAGGUAAAUAUAUUUUAUCUGGUAUCUAUAUGACUUUAAUAUUACCAACAAAUGAUGAAGAAUUUAAAAAUUAUAACCUAAUACAUUGUAUUAAUAAAUUAUAUCUUAAUAAAGAGUACAUCAUUCUCUGUUGGAAAAAUAUGACAUAAUACUUAAAAAGUUCCUCCAAAUAUUUAGAAAAAUUCAAAUAAGCUCUUAUUCUGGUAUUACAUUCAUUAAAUUAUUUUAUUUUUUAGAUCAACUAAGUCCUUAUAACUAAUGAUUAACUAACUAUUGUUAGUCAAAACACCACAUGUGAUUUUAUGCCAUAUGGUGUUAACGUGAUAUGUUUGCAUGUGAUGAUAUGACAAGAUCACGUGGUCACAUGGAAAAUUAGUCAACCAUUAAUCAUAAAUGCCUAUUUGAUCUAAAAUAAAAGUAGAGAAGUUUAAUUGAAUACAAUAUAUAACAAAUAAAAGUUUAUGUAAAUGUUCUAGGAUACUUUAUAGGCUUUUUAAAGCAUUAUGUUACAAAAAAAAUUCAAAUGAUUUGCAUAAAGUUAUUGGAAUCAAGAAUUUGAUUGUAUGUUUUCUUAAGUUGUUUUAAACUUUUAUUAUUUAUAUUAAUUUUAUAUAUAACUAGGUGAAAGACCCAAGCAUUGCUACGGGUUGUUCAAUUGAUGAAUAUUGAAUAUUAAAAAAAAAUUUAUAAUGUUUGGAUAUAGUAUGUUUUUAAUAAUGUUGUGUGCUUAAUAAAUUUAAUAUUUCAACUUUAUACAUUGAAAAUGGAGAAGACUUUUUAGAAUUUAUUUACUAACAGGCCAAACUCAAAGUUGAAUGUAGAAAAAGAACAUUCAUAUAGGUGGUCAUACAUAUUUUAUAUUAUAAAAUAUUAAAAUGAUAUUAUUCCAACAAUUAAAGCAACACAACAAUCAGUUGUGGUGUACAAAAUUUGAUUGUUCUUGUAUUGUGUGUACAUUUUUACCAUAGCAGUUGUAGUACAUUGGAGCUACAAAAAACUUGCUCCAUCUAUGGUAAAAUUUACCUAUUUUCUUUAUAGUGAAGGUAUCUGCAAACUAUUGCUUUCUUUGCAAUAUGCUUGAACCUCUUGUUUGCAUAUCAUCAAGUAUGAUAUGAAGUUAGUUGAUAGUUUCUUUAUACUAAUUUAAAUAAAAAAUACUAUCAUUUUGGGUAAUUUACCUAUUUUCAUUUUUUUUCUAGGUGACUCUUCCGAAAAUAGUUCCUUUGAAACUUGUACACUUGUCAAAGAUGGUGGUAGUUUCAUUUGAGGUUCUCCAAUGCUAAGUGGAGUUUGACCGAUAGUCGAUUGUUGACUUGAAGAACUUGUAAACUCUUGGAUUAGGGGUACUUGAAGCCACAAUUUACUUGACACUGUUACAGUCAAAGAUUUUAAAAAUUAUGUAUUCAUGAUCGAUGGCUUUUCAUGUGAGUCCUACUCUAAAUUUUUUUCUAGUGUUGAUUAGUGCCUUCACAAGAGGAGGAAGAGUCGUCUUGUCUAAUGUUUUAAUUGCAGCAAAUUUUGUAAUUGUAGCUCUAAUCAAUUUUUCAGCUUGUUGUCCAAAGCUUGCAGCUUAAUGGUACCAGUUACAUCUUGGACCAUUAACUACCAAAU
RNAcentral lists this long non-coding RNA (10566 nucleotides) under Theobroma cacao (cacao). RNAcentral describes it as "long non-coding RNA (TCAC_LNC004802)". Lineage: Eukaryota; Viridiplantae; Streptophyta; Magnoliopsida; Malvales; Malvaceae. The record is from RNAcentral.